RNAcentral lists this long non-coding RNA (4856 nucleotides) under Hordeum vulgare. RNAcentral describes it as "long non-coding RNA (HVUL_LNC017165)". Lineage: Eukaryota; Viridiplantae; Streptophyta; Magnoliopsida; Poales; Poaceae. The record is from RNAcentral.
UUGUUCCUCGCCAUACCCCCCUUCUCCCUCGUUCCUACUUGAUCUCCUUUCUCAUUUUGUUGGAUGUCUAGCAUGUAGGUCAAGUAGGAGUCGAUGAAGGGAGGAGUAUGUCGAUGCCAAUCCUUGAGGGUUGAAGGGGGUGGCGGUGGACCAGAGGAGUGUGGUGAGCAAAUCGUACAUGGAGACACUAACUUGACUCAAUAGUGGCUCUGAUACCUCAUCCUUCCUUUUUUUCUCUUGGAGUUGCAGCGAUGCCACCGUCGGCUUCGUGCGACCCCAUGUGUCUGCAUAAAAUCAUGAAGGAGAGGCGCGUGAGCGGUCAUCCAAGAGACACAUGGUCCGCCCUUACUCAAAGAGCCACCGUGAUGGAGCCAUGCAAAGAGGUAUGCAGUCUUAUCCUCUUCAUCCCCUCCUUGUACAAUGUUGUACACCCAUGUUUAAUUAAGAAAUCGGUACACACAACAAAUGAAUUGCACAUCGACGACUAGAUAGCUGGCCGGUGUAGCAGACGAACUUCCACAUCUCACUAGCAGGGUAGAUGAUGUAGGAGGCUAGCAGCAACAACUAUAUAUCCACGAGUAGGUAGCAGAAUUUCGUGAUGUAACUUGGCAUAUAGCUCCCGUAAGUUAACCACCCUCACAGCCAAGUUGACUAACAUGUACCAUAAUUUUCCUAUCAUGACUAACGAGUAAUCUAUUAUCAUUAGAAGUUCAACCUACAAUAGUUUUUGGUGUGUACGCAACUUAGUUUCAAUGUAGACAAGUUAGGAACCAUGUUAUGUAACUUCUACAAUAUUGUAGGCAAUUGAGCAUCACUAGGGUAGGCGACCCCAUAGUGAUGUGGAGGCCUUUGUUUUUUGAGGUGGUUAACUUUCACAUUAGCAUGAAGAACUAAUGGUCAAUGGUAUGCAGUUUAGCAUCACUACAAGGUGGCUACACUAUAGUACUAAAGCUAGUUGUUGUGCUACCAAAGUUGCACCAAGUAGCAGCAAAGUUAAUUUUAAAAAAAUUGUUGAAACAUACCCAAACGAGUUCUAUCUCUCCGAAAGGUGGAUCAUGCAGCACCAAAUUUGCAUCAUAUAGCACCAAAGUUAAUUUUCAAUUAUUAUUUUUGAAACAUACCAAAAUGUGGUAUGGCUUUUGGAAAGUUGGUUGUUGUAGCACCAAAGUUGGUAUUCAAACAUUUGUUGGAACAUGCCCAAAUGGGGUCUAGCUUUGAGAAAGUUGGUUAAUGUAGCAUCAAAGUUGCAUCAUGUACAACCAAAGAUGGUGUUGGAAAAGUUUGUCAAAACAAACCCAAACAGGGUGCAUCUUUCAAAAGGUUAGUUGAUGUAGAACCAAAUUCGGGUCAUGUAGUACCAAAAUUGGUUUUAAAAAGUGUGUUGGAAGAUACCCAAAUGGGGUCCAGAUUUUGGAAAAUGUGUUGAUGUAGCACCAAAGUUACAUCAGGUAGAACCAAAGUUGGGUUUUAAAAUGUUUGUCGAAACAUACCCAAAUGAGGUUGAUCUUUCAAGAAGUUGGUCAAUAUAGCACCAAAGUUGGUUUCGAAAAGUGGAAAACUUUUUCAAAACCAACUUUGGUGCUACAUAAACCAACUACCUGAAAGCUGGACCGCAUUUGGAUAUGUAGCACCAAAAUUGCAUCAUGUAGCACCAAAGUUGGUUUUGAAAGUUCACUUUUUCAAAACCAACUUUGGUGCUACAUGAUGCAACUUUUAAAAACCAACUUUGGUGUUACAUGAUGGUACUUCGGUGCUACAUCAACCAACUUUUUGAAAGUUGUACCACAUUUGGGUAUGUUUCGGUAAACUUUUUCAAAACCAACUUUGGUGCUAAAUGGUGUAACUUUGGCGCUACAUUAACCAACUUUCUGAAAACUGGACCCCAUUCAGGUAUUUCUCGAUAAAAAAUUUCAAACCCAACUUUGGUUCUACAUGGACCAACUUUGGUGCUAAAUCAAGCAAUCUUCCGAAAGCUCAACCACAAUUUUGUUUCGACAAACAUUUUCAAAAUAAACUUUGGUGUUACAUCAAUCAACUUUUCGAAAACUAGACCCAUUUUGGGUAUGUUUCUGUAAACUUUUCGGAAACCAACUUUGGUGCUAUGUAAACCAACUUUCGCAAAGCUAGACCCUGUUCGGGUAUGUUUUGGUAUGCUAUUGGAGUAAUAGAUGAACAUGUCACUAAAUGGGUUUGCGCUAACUAAUGGAAAGAUGUUAUUGAAGUUUGUGGGAUCGUAACUUUCUUCAUUAAACAGCAUAAUUUGGGAACUUCCGGGGACGCUCGAUUACCUAUUAUGUAUACAUAUUAAGUGUUUGGUCCGCGGUCGCAUACUGAACCAAUUGGUAAUUCUUGAGAGAACAAUUAUAAGUUACCUGGUUACCAUAAUCUACAUAUUCUCACAUAUAUCUAUUGAACACUAAAUGUGCGUAAGAGGCGAUAUUAUAAUAGAAAUUACCCAAAAUCAGAAAUACUAAAACAUCAAUCUAAUGUACACCCUUUUAUUAACAUAGAUGAGUAGAUUUUGCAGAAUGUCACAACCACCUGGAAGCCAACAUGAUGAGCUCACAAACCUAAUAAAGGACAUACUUAAAAAACAAGACAAAAGUUAAACAAUGGAUACUUACCUCCUAGCACCUGACCAACCGUUGAGCGUGUGGGGAAUCUGGUGGAAAUUAAAAUGAUGGAUGACUCACCUAGAAGUAGGAUUUUUCUCAUGAGAGAAAAUGCUUAAACCCCGUGGUGCAAAUACUAUUACAAUUAUUGAUGCCAAUAAAGAAAUCAGGAAUAACUAGUUGUUUAAUUUUCCUAUGUUUCAGCAUAACCAUGUUAGAUGACAUGCCGGCAUGUGAGUGAGAGCGCAUAAUGAUUGGGGUGAGGAGUGUAGUGCAAUUGGUAGAGAGUUAUAAAAAAAUGGGUAAAACCAAAUAAAUAUCAUCCUGAAAAACUUCUAGUCAAACUUCCCAAAUUGUAGUUGUUCAUAUGUAAAUAUAUUGCUAGAAUUUUCCAAAAUAAAGUAAUGUAGAUGAAUUUGUUUUUAAAACUAUUUUCUGGCCUUCAUUUAUGUAUUUUCGGCAACAAUCUCACAUACUGCUCAUAUAUUUCUGAAAGUUUAUCAAUCCAUAUAUUUUCCUCAUGUUUCAAGUAUCUUUCAUAUUUUUGACAUAAAUUAUGAUAUUUUUAAUUGAUUACGUCAAAUAGUAUAGUAAAUUAAAAUAAUUAAUAUGAAUUCUAGAUUAGACCUUUGCACCUUUCACUAAUUUCCCUGACUACCAAUGUUAUCAUCGUUAUUAAAAACCUAACAAACAUUAUAACUAAACUACAGGAUACAGAUUAAUCCCAUGGUUCCCUUCCUCCUGUCACCUGAUCUAAAUAUGGUUAGAAAUGUUUCCCUACACGCAUGCACCAUGUGCUAUGACCAUACGACCCUAUUAUUUUGUACUCUCUUCAUUUUUAAAUAUAAGUCUUUUUAAAGGUUUCACUACGAAAACUAUAUACAGAUGUAUAUAGACACAUUUUAGAGUAUAGAUUCACUCAUUUUGUUCUUCUAAUGAAAUCUUUAAAAAGACUUAUAUUUAUAAAAGAAAAGAGUAGAAUACACAUGAAACUGUAAAUAUGUUUGUCUGUCAUUUUAAUCUAAAGAUGAUACCCUCACAGUUGCGAUCGAUGGCCACCAUGCUAUUUGUAUUGAGCAUCAAAAACACAUCUAGGAGGAGAGAUUACAACAUCGGCAACUGCUUCAACAAAUAAUGGACGAAUUCUUUUACAACUGAUUUUAGAAGACUGCCGUAAUCUGUUCUUCACAUUACCAUCGGGUGUUUUUCUCUCUCCACUGACUGUAACAUUAAGUUUUUUCGAGAAAACAAAAUCCGAUGAAUCUACAACAUAUGAGUAUGCUAAUUCGGUCCUCCUAUCCUUUCUCCAUUUUUAUCCAUGGUGUAGAUAGAUAGAUAGAUGACUCCCCCGAUUAGCACUUUUUUAGCAGUAAUAACCAAGAGUGCGGAUGUGUUGAGAGGCCCCGCGGCAACGGCCACCUACAUCGUUAUCCUAGGACGUCACAUAAUCUUCAACUAAUAAUGACUGAAUUCACCUAAAACUGAUCUUAGAAAAAGACCAAACUGUGGUUUACACCUGUUCUUCACAUUACCCUCGGGUGUUCUUCAAUAUCUCAUCAAGGUAAAAACAUUUCGAAUAAAGACAAUGCGAUGAGUCUACAACAUCGGAUCAUGCUAAUUCGGUCCUCCUAUCCUUUCUCCAUUUUUGUCCAGUAUCUAGAUGGAUGGAUGAGUCGCCCGAUUAGCACUUAUUUAGCCUAGAGGAUUAAUUGCUCAACAUCACACACAACAACAACAACAGGCGAGAUCGAUGGACCGACCGAACGAACGAGUGACCUCUACUUGCCCUCGGCUCCGGCCACCACCGGUGAAGUGGGCGCCGCAGGAUCCUUGUCAUCUUCCUGAACCGCCUUCCCCUUCUCCUCACCGGGGCCACCGACGGCGCGCAGGGUGCGGCCGAGCGCGUCAAGGCGAUCGCCGGCGGCCCGGGGUUCGGCUGGCCCGAGGCGAGCGGCGGCCGUGUGGACGAGGUCCUCCGCGCGGUCGCAGCACUCGUGGAAGGCGUCGAGGCGGCGCUUGAGGUCCUCCAGCGCCGCGGCGCGGCCGGGCUCGCGGACGGCGACCGCCGCGGCGUCCACCAGCGCGUCGUAGGCCGCUGCCAUUGCGUCCACGGUGCCGUCCAUCGUGAUGCCGCCGGCGGUUACCGAUUGAUCGAGUGGUGUUGUCUUGUCUUGUGUUGAGUUGGAGUGAUCGACUGGCUAGCGCUCCCCUUAUAUAUACACACAUACCCGUCAUGCUUUAAUU